This 253-nucleotide ribosomal RNA is filed under the name uncultured bacterium. RNAcentral's name for it is "partial 16S ribosomal RNA". It matches the Rfam family "Bacterial small subunit ribosomal RNA", at positions 524 to 776 of the family's 1533-position model. The record is from RNAcentral.
UACGUAGGGGGCAAGCGUUGUCCGGAAUCAUUGGGCGUAAAGAGCGUGUAGGCGGCCCGGUAAGUCCGCUGUGAAAGUCGGGGGCUCAACCCUCGGAUGCCGGUGGAUACUGGCGGGCUCGAGUACGGAAGAGGCGAGUGGAAUUCCUGGUGUAGCGGUGAAAUGCGCAGAUAUCAGGAGGCACACCGAUUGCGAAGGCAGCUCGCUGGGACGUCACUGACGCUGAGACGCGAAAGCGUGGGGAGCAAACAGG